Molecule: ribosomal RNA, 469 nt
Filed under: uncultured bacterium
Lineage: Bacteria
Description: bacterial SSU rRNA
Rfam family: Bacterial small subunit ribosomal RNA
Source: RNAcentral
GAUGAACGCUGGCGGCGUGCUUAACACAUGCAAGUCGAACGAAGAUGCCGGAGUGCUUGCACUUUGGCAGACUGAGUGGCGGACGGGUGAGUAACGCGUGGGUAACCUGCCUUAUACAGGGGGAUAACAGUUGGAAACGACUGCUAAUACCGCAUAAGCGCACGGUAUCGCAUGAUACAGUGUGAAAAACUCCGGUGGUAUAAGAUGGACCCGCGUCUGAUUAGCUUGUUGGUGAGGUAACGGCCCACCAAGGCGACGAUCAGUAGCCGGCCUGAGAGGGUGAACGGCCACAUUGGGACUGAGACACGGCCCAAACUCCUACGGGAGGCAGCAGUGGGGAAUAUUGCACAAUGGGGGAAACCCUGAUGCAGCAACGCCGCGUGUGGGAAGAAGGUUUUCGGAUUGUAAACCACUGUUCUUGGUGAAGAUAAUGACGGUAACCAAGGAGAAAGCUCCGGCUAACUACGUG